Molecule: ribosomal RNA, 497 nt
Filed under: uncultured bacterium
Lineage: Bacteria
Description: partial 16S ribosomal RNA
Rfam family: Bacterial small subunit ribosomal RNA
Source: RNAcentral
GAUGAACGCUGGCGGCGUGCCUAAUACAUGCAAGUCGAGCGAACAGACGAGGAGCUUGCUCCUCUGACGUUAGCGGCGGACGGGUGAGUAACACGUGGAUAACCUACCUAUAAGACUGGGAUAACUUCGGGAAACCGGAGCUAAUACCGUAUAAUAUAUUGAACCGCAUGGUUCAAUAGUGAAAGACGGUUUUGCUGUCACUUAUAGAUGGAUCCGCGCCGCAUUAGCUAGUUGGUAAGGUAACGGCUUACCAAGGCAACGAUGCGUAGCCGACCUGAGAGGGUGAUCGGCCACACUGGAACUGAGACACGGUCCAGACUCCUACGGGAGGCAGCAGUAGGGAAUCUUCCGCAAUGGGCGAAAGCUUGACGGAGCAACGCCGCGUGAGUGAUGAAGGUCUUCGGAUCGUAAAACCCUGUUAUUAGGGAAGAACAAAUGUGUAAGUAACUAUGCACGUCUUGACGGUACCUAAUCAGAAAGCCACGGCUAACUACGUG